RNAcentral lists this ribosomal RNA (1361 nucleotides) under uncultured bacterium. RNAcentral describes it as "bacterial SSU rRNA". It matches the Rfam family "Bacterial small subunit ribosomal RNA", at positions 28 to 1381 of the family's 1533-position model. The record is from RNAcentral.
AUUGAACGCUGGCGGCAGGCCUAACACAUGCAAGUCGAGCGGUAGCACAGAGAGCUUGCUCUCGGGUGACGAGCGGCGGACGGGUGAGUAAUGUCUGGGAAACUGCCUGAUGGAGGGGGAUAACUACUGGAAACGGUAGCUAAUACCGCAUAAUGUCGCAAGACCAAAGUGGGGGACCUUCGGGCCUCAUGCCAUCAGAUGUGCCCAGAUGGGAUUAGCUAGUAGGUGGGGUAAUGGCUCACCUAGGCGACGAUCCCUAGCUGGUCUGAGAGGAUGACCAGCCACACUGGAACUGAGACACGGUCCAGACUCCUACGGGAGGCAGCAGUGGGGAAUAUUGCACAAUGGGCGCAAGCCUGAUGCAGCCAUGCCGCGUGUGUGAAGAAGGCCUUCGGGUUGUAAAGCACUUUCAGCGGGGAGGAAGGCGUUAAGGUUAAUAACCUUGGCGAUUGACGUUACCCGCAGAAGAAGCACCGGCUAACUCCGUGCCAGCAGCCGCGGUAAUACGGAGGGUGCAAGCGUUAAUCGGAAUUACUGGGCGUAAAGCGCACGCAGGCGGUCUGUCAAGUCGGAUGUGAAAUCCCCGGGCUCAACCUGGGAACUGCAUUCGAAACUGGCAGGCUAGAGUCUUGUAGAGGGGGGUAGAAUUCCAGGUGUAGCGGUGAAAUGCGUAGAGAUCUGGAGGAAUACCGGUGGCGAAGGCGGCCCCCUGGACAAAGACUGACGCUCAGGUGCGAAAGCGUGGGGAGCAAACAGGAUUAGAUACCCUGGUAGUCCACGCCGUAAACGAUGUCGAUUUGGAGGUUGUGCCCUUGAGGCGUGGCUUCCGGAGCUAACGCGUUAAAUCGACCGCCUGGGGAGUACGGCCGCAAGGUUAAAACUCAAAUGAAUUGACGGGGGCCCGCACAAGCGGUGGAGCAUGUGGUUUAAUUCGAUGCAACGCGAAGAACCUUACCUGGUCUUGACAUCCACAGAACUUAGCAGAGAUGCUUUGGUGCCUUCGGGAACUGUGAGACAGGUGCUGCAUGGCUGUCGUCAGCUCGUGUUGUGAAAUGUUGGGUUAAGUCCCGCAACGAGCGCAACCCUUAUCCUUUGUUGCCAGCGGUUAGGCCGGGAACUCAAAGGAGACUGCCAGUGAUAAACUGGAGGAAGGUGGGGAUGACGUCAAGUCAUCAUGGCCCUUACGACCAGGGCUACACACGUGCCACAAUGGCAUAUACAAAGAGAAGCGACCUCGCGAGAGCAAGCGGACCUCAUAAAGUAUGUCGUAGUCCGGAUUGGAGUCUGCAACUCGACUCCAUGAAGUCGGAAUCGCUAGUAAUCGUAGAUCAGAAUGCUACGGUGAAUACGUUCCCGGGCCU